Molecule: ribosomal RNA, 390 nt
Filed under: Triticum aestivum (bread wheat)
Lineage: Eukaryota; Viridiplantae; Streptophyta; Magnoliopsida; Poales; Poaceae
Description: partial small subunit ribosomal RNA
Source: RNAcentral
AUGGGCAGCGGCGCGAGGAGCUCGCGGCAGGGCAGCUCGACGAUUUGCGGCUCGAGCGGGAGGACUAGGCAUCUUCAGAUGCACGUGGAGGAGUCGCUCGAGGACGAGGACUCUGGCGCCGCCGGCCAGGGAGGAGUCGCUCGAGGGGUGGCGCUCAUGGUGCUGGUCCGUUGGGCUUCGGAUCCGUGGCUGUGCCAGUGUGAGAGGAGGUCAGGGAAUGAGAAGAAGAGGAGGGGCGUAGUGUGGCCUGCGCUAGCCGGCGGCGGAGCUCGCCGGCCGGAGGCGAGCGCCGAUGGAUCAGGCCCGAGAUCCACCCUGGCGGCUUCUGGCUGGGAGGAGAGAAGGACAUUUUUUAAACAUGUUUUUUUGGUUGACCCCACAUGUAACUGA